This 497-nucleotide ribosomal RNA is filed under the name uncultured bacterium. Its description in RNAcentral is "partial 16S ribosomal RNA". It matches the Rfam family "Bacterial small subunit ribosomal RNA", at positions 28 to 507 of the family's 1533-position model. The record is from RNAcentral.
GAUGAACGCUGGCGGCGUGCCUAAUACAUGCAAGUCGAGCGAACAGACGAGGAGCUUGCUCCUCUGACGUUAGCGGCGGACGGGUGAGUAACGCGUGGAUAACCUACCUAUAAGACUGGGAUAACUUCGGGAAACCGGAGCUAAUACCGGAUAAUAUAUUGAACCGCAUGGUUCAAUAGUGAAAGGCGGUUUUGCUGUCACUUAUAGAUGGAUCCGCGCCGCAUUAGCUAGUUGGUAAGGUAACGGCUUACCAAGGCAACGAUGCGUAGCCGACCUGAGAGGGUGAUCGGCCACACUGGAACUGAGACACGGUCCAGACUCCUACGGGAGGCAGCAGUAGGGAAUCUUCCGCAAUGGGCGAAAGCCUGACGGAGCAACGCCGCGUGAGUGAUGAAGGUCUUCGGAUCGUAAAACUCUGUUAUUAGGGAAGAACAAAUGUGUAAGUAACUAUGCACGUCUUGACGGUACCUAAUCAGAAAGCCACGGCUAACUACGUG